UGCGGAUAAAUAAAAUACAUGUCAAUCGAAUAAUCCAUCGUUGUUUUAUUGGAAUUUAAAGUUCUAUAGCUCUAAAAAAAAACACCCUUUAGUAUUCAUUUACUUUCUAAAAUACCUGAGAAAACUGCUAGAUAUCUUAAUUUCUAAAUCCAAUCUUGUGCACUGUUCGAAAGUUUUUUGAGAGUUCUAAGAACCAUUCAAAUUUUGUGAUUCUGUAUCAUAUAAAAUAAAAAGUCUUAUUAACAUGGGUCUUUCUUGUAGUCCUACUCUUUUGUGAUGAUUAUAACAGUUCGAAUCUUUAUUAGUGUUCGCUAUACAGAUUGAGUUAAUGAUGAGUACCAAAACUUGUAUGUAAUUAAUUUAUUCAUCAAAUCUCAUCUACUGAUUGGAUCUUCAUAAUGAUUUGUAUUUUCCUGAGGAUUACUAGAGGACUGUUUGAAUUUUUUUUUUUUGAAAUCGAAAGCAAAAACUACAAAAUUACAUGAAACCAAAAACUGUUAUACUGAGCCAAAGUUUCUACUACUAGAGGACCACCAAAAAAAAAAGUUCUGUGAAGCGGGCACUAUUCCAGAAAAAAUAUCACCCUGUAGAUUUCCAUUCAAAAUGAAAUCUUCAAAUUGAAAUAUCUAUGCCAAAUUUAAGUUAAAUACCUUGUGAGGGGAAGGUGACUCUCAAUUUUGAUCACCGAUAUAAAAUAGUCUAAAAUUUAAUAUUUUCACUUUUUUUUCUUUGUUUAUGAGCCCAUGAGUUUCUGGAUUGUUUGUUUUUUUCGUAUGGUACGGUAUGAGAGCGCAGUUGCACAUAUGAUAGGCAUUUGACUGGUGUUAGAAUUGAAUAUAUUUCAACAAUGAAUUGGUUUUGCUUUUCGAACAGAGAAUUGGUCGUUUUUACGCAAAUAAUGUUCGAUAAGUUUAUGCAAUUGUUAUGGAAGUGUUUCUAUUGCCUUUAUGAGUCAUCUUACUUGUAGAAGACACUUUUUUACUACUUAAGACGAAUGAAAUUGUAAUAAAACCUACCCAAAAAGUCGAUCAACAUCUUAAGGCUUCUUUCUUCUUAUCUUGCCGUAAAUAUCUACCUAACUAUAUUAGGACCAUUGAGGUACGAAAUUUCCAAGGUCAUCAGAGUGCAGUUUUUUUCGACCACAGGAAACAGAGAUCAAUAAUCAAGUUAUCACAAUAUCAAAUUGGACUUAGAAGAAAAUAUUGGAAUUCUGUACGCAGAGGUGAACACUACAAACACAGAGGUCAGAUCAAAUUUUCUGAUUGUUUAUUAAUCUUGAAUUUUCUUUCAUUGUAAAUUUUUAUUGUAAGCUAGGUAUAAAGUUAGGUAUACAAGAGUGCACGAAUUUUUAACGAGUUAUUCUUUUUUGAACAGACAGACAUUGAUGGCAGUUGUUGAUAACUAAUUCAUUUUCUCACUUGAAGUACCUUUUUUUUUUUGAAUAUGUGAUUUUUCGUAGAUUGAUAAAUGAAGUCUUGCUCUGAAAGAUCGUCAGCAAAAGAGAUAUUAUAAAAUAUGUGAACCAGUUUCUGAUAAAACGUAAAAUUAUUA
Long non-coding RNA from Harmonia axyridis, 1551 nucleotides. RefSeq lists it as uncharacterized. The transcript has 2 exons. NCBI's taxonomy places the organism in Eukaryota, Metazoa, Arthropoda, Insecta, Coleoptera, Coccinellidae. The record is from RefSeq and is a predicted model, not a curated record.